ACGAUGGUCGGAAACCAUCGCCCGAAGAGAGGAG
Molecule: non-coding RNA, 34 nt
Filed under: unclassified sequences
Description: L31-Coriobacteria ribosomal protein leader
Rfam family: L31-Coriobacteria ribosomal protein leader
Source: RNAcentral